This 1414-nucleotide ribosomal RNA is filed under the name bacterium NLAE-zl-H406. Its description in RNAcentral is "bacterial SSU rRNA". It matches the Rfam family "Bacterial small subunit ribosomal RNA". The record is from RNAcentral.
GGCUACCAUGCAGUCGAGGGGCAGCAUUUCAGUUUGCUUGCNAACUGGAGAUGGCGACCGGCGCACNGGUGAGUAACACGUAUCCAACCUGCCGAUAACUCGGGGAUAGCCUUUCGAAAGAAAGAUUAAUACCCGAUGGUAUAAUNAGACCGCAUGGUCUUGUUAUUAAAGAAUUUCGGUUAUCGAUGGGGAUGCGUUCCAUUAGGCAGUUGGUGAGGUAACGGCUCACCAAACCUUCGAUGGAUAGGGGUUCUGAGAGGAAGGUCCCCCACAUUGGAACUGAGACACGGUCCAAACUCCUACGGGAGGCAGCAGUGAGGAAUAUUGGUCAAUGGGCGCAGGCCUGAACCAGCCAAGUAGCGUGAAGGAUGACUGCCCUAUGGGUUGUAAACUUCUUUUAUAUGGGAAUAAAGUUUUCCACGUGUGGAAUUUUGUAUGUACCAUAUGAAUAAGGAUCGGCUAACUCCGUGCCAGCAGCCGCGGUAAUACGGAGGAUCCCGAGCGUUAUCCGGAUUUAUUGGGUUUAAAGGGAGCGUAGGUGGACAGUUAAGUCAGUUGUGAAAGUUUGCGGCUCAACCGUAAAAUUGCAGUUGAUACUGGCUGUCUUGAGUACAGUAGAGGUGGGCGGAAUUCGUGGUGUAGCGGUGAAAUGCUUAGAUAUCACGAAGAACUCCGAUUGCGAAGGCAGCUCACUGGACUGCAACUGACACUGAUGCUCGAAAGUGUGGGUAUCAAACAGGAUUAGAUACCCUGGUAGUCCACACAGUAAACGAUGAAUACUCGCUGUUUGCGAUAUACAGUAAGCGGCCAAGCGAAAGCAUUAAGUAUUCCACCUGGGGAGUACGCCGGCAACGGUGAAACUCAAAGGAAUUGACGGGGGCCCGCACAAGCGGAGGAACAUGUGGUUUAAUUCGAUGAUACGCGAGGAACCUUACCCGGGCUUAAAUUGCAUUUGAAUAUAUUGGNAAACAGUAUAGUCGUAAGACAAAUGUGAAGGUGCUGCAUGGUUGUCGUCAGCUCGUGCCGUGAGGGGUCGGCUUAAGUGCCAUAACGAGCGCAACCCUUAUCUUUAGUUACUAACAGGUCAUGCUGAGGACUCUAGAGAGACUGCCGUCGUAAGAUGUGAGGAAGGUGGGGAUGACGUCAAAUCAGCACGGCCCUUACGUCCGGGGCUACACACGUGUUACAAUGGGGGGUACAGAAGGCAGCUACCUGGUGACAGGAUGCUAAUCCCAAAAGCCUCUCUCAGUUCGGAUCGAAGUCUGCAACCCGACUUCGUGAAGCUGGAUUCGCUAGUAAUCGCGCAUCAGCCAUGGCGCGGUGAAUACGUUCCCGGGCCUUGUACACACCGCCCGUCAAGCCAUGAAAGCCGGGGGUACCUGAAGUACGUAACCGCAAGGAGCUCCUAGGAAAC